Molecule: long non-coding RNA, 19218 nt
Organism: Grus americana (Whooping crane)
Lineage: Eukaryota; Metazoa; Chordata; Aves; Gruiformes; Gruidae
Exons: 8
Source: RefSeq, a predicted model, not a curated record
CCCGCCUGGAACCCUGCCUGGAGCCCUGCCUGGAGCCCUUCUCUGCUCUGGCUGCGCCCUGCAUGCAUCCUGCCCCGCUGCUGCUGCCCGGUACCACCCAUUGGGAAUUAUCUCUUCAGCCUGCAUUUAGCACCAGACACCUGGUAUGAUAAGGUGAAGUGCUCAGCAUUCCACAGUUUCCUGGAGGAACAGACCACGAUCCAGGUGUCAGCCCAGCGCUGGCAGCUCCAGUCCAUCCCUACACCUUUCCUGACAAGCCGUGCUGGUGGUGCAAAAACGCCAAAGACUUCAGGGCUCCUUCAUGGAUGGUGAAGCCAUAACACUGGUGAAGUAAUAAGGUUAAUAAUUUUAAGGUCUUAAAACUAAAGAGAUGGCAGAGGGGAGGCUCUUAUCCAGCCUGGUAGUGUUAGAUCAGAUUCCCAGGGAUUUGGGGAAGAUUGGAGGGUACUUGGCCCCUUGCAGGAUUAGGCCAUCAGUGAGCAGCCUCCCCGAAAAUUACAAAGCCUUCUUGUGAGACUCUUCAGGCUGUAAUUAGUUUAAAUUAUUUUACGAAAGAGCAGGGAAACAACAUGCAGCAUUAGUGUUAGUAACCUCCCCAAUAUGAUGCCUCUUCACAGGGAUGUCCCAAGUAGAACAAAAUAUAUUCCUCUUGAAAUGACAUUGCCUUUGACAACAGAUCACAGUAUUUGCCACCUUAACCAUUCUACCCAGUUUUAUGAUUAGAAAAAUUGCCCAAAUUAUAGAAAUUAUUUUUUUUUAAUUAAAAAAGAUGGAGAGGGAUAGUCAGUGUGAGUAUAUCACCAAAGUUGUACUGACUUCACUGGAGCUUUACUGGCGGCAUUUAACACAGGUCUGCCAGUCCUAUUCUUCUCUAGUUUUGUUCAGCAUCGAUGAAACAAAAUCAUUCUUGAGUCCUAUCUCAAUUUUCAUUUUAAGAACCUAAUUUGGAAUUCAGCUUAACUAGACCUCCCUUUUCCCCCUCCUCUUCAAUCAGCAAGACAUUUAAUAAUAUACAAAUACCUCGCUGUGGCUUCAAGCUAAAUUCAUUUAUGACCAAGUGACAUAAAUGACACCUGCAAGAAAUUGAUAUACCUGCUGCUUAUAUACAGUGCCUUUGGACAAAAAGGCAGAUUAACCUUUUUUUUUUUUUUUAAGUUUUCUCUGUUAACUAUUAUACUUAAUGCAUAUAAAUCCCUCAUAUCUGAGUAGCAAAAACUUACACUUGCCAAUAAAUUUAUAAUGCAUUGGUAACAAUGCUGUAAUUGCAUCUAAUAAAUACUCUCUCUGCCCUCACUGAGCUUUUGUGAAGCUGAAUAGCAUUGAACCACUUUGCAGUCCUCAUCUGAAAGGUCUCCUAUAGACAGAAUAAUAUUACUAUUUUAAAUAGCAGAACUGUUAUUGAGACACCUCUGUGUUAAAGCUGUUCUUGACAGUAACCACAGGCUACUCACUGCAGCCUCGAAAUCUGAAACUGCUAAGCUCAUAGUUAGCUUAGCUAUUCUCACUCAGCAAACACCUUGUUCCCUAUGAUUUAUUUAUCCCUUUAUUCUGCAGUCUAUCCAGGAAUGAGAUUGGAGGUUUUUUUACACAUUAAUUAUUAAUAAUGAUUCAAGGAGUUUGUUUAUGCAAACGUAUUUCAGGCCACAGUCUCUCUGUGAACUCUUUGCGUUCCUAAUUGAGUUAUUUGCUGUUCAUCAUGUGCUGUCUGCAGACCUCAUGGAUCACUGCAAACCAUAUGAUGUGGCAUUGCUUUUGUUCUCUGAUGAGUCUCAAACCCAGGAAAGGUGUUUCUGGAAGGCACAGGAGGGCUUCUGACAUGAACAUUAGGGCAUCUUGCUGUUUCCAGGUCUCUGCAGCUCUCAUCCGACUGUUUCUGAAAUCACAAAUUCACUCUCACAUAUUUUUGGGGACUGGGCUGACCAGCUGGCAUUGCUCUCAACUUUUUACUUCAGUUGCUACUAGCAGUUGUACUACAGUGGAGGUCUGUGGUUGAGAGUGAGAUAGGAGAAUGACUGAAUCUGGCACAUGGUAACACAGGUGCUCUCCUACAGACCUAAACCAGGCUAGUUAGGUCAAAGUUAGGAGGGGAAUCAAUGGGACAGGCAGGGUAAAUGACUUUCCCAGUGGCACCCAGAGGGACUGUUGCAAGGUUGGACUGCAGCUCACACCUUCAGCAUCUCCAUCGGUGUUCAGUCUGUGGGAUUACUGCCUACUGAUUCCACCGAACUUGUCUUUCUCUUUAUACCCAUUUCCUGCUCUUAUUACUCUUGGCACCAGUUACCGCACCAUGAAAAGACAUUCUUGUGGGAGUAGGACUGAGGGGGUAGGGCUCUUGUUACUUUCUCAGUGAAAUCCUCAGUGAUAAUCCUGACAUGCACAUGCUGUAAGAUCUCUGGGGAAUGGUGACUGCUCUUACACAAGCAUCACAAGCAGGAGUUACAUGCAAGACCUAAAAUAAUCCCUCCAUUCUAUUGAAAAUAGAGUAGCAAAUCAAUGCCUGGCAUUAGUCUGCUGGCAAUGCCUGUGUCCAGAUUUGGGUGCCAACUUUUAGAACUAUGUGAGCCUAGUGGCAUGAUCCCAAAAGCAAGCAGUGAGAACAACCAGAGGCCUUGACACUGUAGCUGGAGUGGAAAAACUGAAAGAACUGGGUUUGUUUACUCCGGAGACAUCACUAAGGGGACACAAUGACAGUGUAAAAUGUUCCUGCAAAGAAGAGAGGAAUAAACUGUUCUCUACUGGAUACAGGACAAGAAGGAAUGGGCAUACAUUGCAGCAAGAGACAUUUAAGCUGCAGUGGGGACAGCUGGACUCCAGUCUGGGUUGCCUGGGAAGGGAGUAACUUUGUGCAAUUAAGUGAGGUCUCCAGGUGAGGAGCAUCACUGAACUUCAGAGUUGAGACUUCUUCUAUAUGUAGUAAAGUGAGAUAGUAAUUCUGGCUGUGCUUCAACUCUCUUUGAAGCAGCUUUUAACUCUACAUUGAUUAGUCAGAGAGCCCAGUUUCCUACGUUAGCCAAUUCAUUUAAGUGCCUAAAGUUAAAUGGGAUGGAUCUGGACCUCAGUGACUUACUUGCCUUUACCCUAUGACUCAUCAUCAAACCCUGUGGGUCCUAUGUCAUGGUCUCUAGUUUCUGCUUUCAUCAUUGCUUUUCAGUUUCCUUGCUGCGUUCAGCAGCAAGUCUUUGCUUUACAGAAGUUUGAACAACCUUAGCAUAAUAUAUAUUUCCUGUUCUUCAGGAAGGUUAAAGAUUUGCUUAUUACACCGAAGUGUUUAAUGAAUUGUGCUUUGAAUAUAUAAACAUGAUUCUGAAGGCUCUAUCAGCUAAACCAUUUCUCUUCUAAAGUAAUUGGUAAUGAAUAACAUUUUACCUAGUGGGUCAUAUUCCAAUGUAAGUGCUAAAAAGCCAGAUAAAUGGAAAAUAGAUGUUAGUUUCAGUUUUCAAAGAUUCUUCAUAAAUAUGAGCAAUUAGGGUAAAAAAUAAAAAGAUACAACGUCCUAAUAAUCUGUCCUAUCAGGUCAGAAGAUGCAGCAUUAAAAAAAAACUAUCUAUAACCCCAUUACUGUGGACAAAGGCAGUACUGGGGAAUUGUCUAAGGUUAAUUAAUAGCAAACACUGUUUUGUAGCAGAGCAAAGAUCCCCUCCCCAUAAGAAUCAUACUGGCCUAAAACUCUUGAGGUUGUACAUUUAGAAAAACUGAGGUCUGUCUUAAAUACUCUCUGUUUCUUUGUUGUUUGGGUUUUUUUUUCCCGAGACUUUGGGGUGUGCUUGCUUUGUUUUUGUAUUUAGGCAUUGUAUAGGCAUCAUGUGCCUAUAAGGAAGUAAAAGAUGAGGAUUUCCAAUGAACUCUCUGGAGCUGAAACUGGGAAAAGCAUGGGCCUGAGAUUUAAACCUGGAAUCAAAACACACUGGAAAAGCUGCUGCAGGUUCUGUCUGAAUGGUGGGACUUUGCAGCAGCACGACAGGAGGUCUGUAACAUGGCAUAUGCUAUCCCCAUGCUUCCACGCUCCCCGUUAGCAGCAGGGAGGAAUGCUGAUGGGCUGACUGCAAAGCACAAUGAUGGUUCUAGCCUGUCUUCUCAAGGAAACAAGACAUAAACUCAGACUCUUGGUGAUGUGCAAACAAACGGGUCUUUCCGCCUGGUGACUAAUUUCAACCAAGGUUGACAGAGGACAAAAGAUCUCCAAUAAAAUAAGCUCCUAGAAAUGUUAAUGGCAAUAGGAGGUGGGUGAAGAGAAACUGCUAGUGCCUCACUUAGGGAAAGGCAGCCGCAGAGCUCCUUUCACAGCAGAUAUUGAAGAAUCCACACAGCAGAGACAUAUUUGAAAUGAAGCUUCCCACAGUUUUAAUUUUCACAAGAGUAAUUGUUUAAAAUAGAUGUGGUUGGAGUCAUGGCACGUAGAGGCUCUGCUGCCUCCUACUCCUAGUCUCCCCAGCCCCGAGUACUGUGAACCCCUUUGCUUCCUAUCGACAAAUUAAAAAAAAAGACAAGUUAAAACAUCUCCUUGGAAUUACAUUUCUCUGUCCUGUAUUUGUUCCCUUCAUCUAAUCUUUAUUUCGUACUCACUGUGGUUAUUGUUACAAAUUAGAAUUUUUUUUUUUUUUGAUUGCCAGCUCAACCAGGUCUACUUGAUACCUUAUAAUCAAGCUGCAUUUUUCUUCCAGCUCUAUAAACAGCGAAGCUCCUGGACUCGGCUAGACCAUAGCCACUGCUCUUACACUGCUGUAAAGGCAUGAACUGUAUCAGAGCACAGCUUGCUCCUGCAGCUGCUUUGGCUCCAGAGGGGUGUUUGUGUCAGUAAACUAAUCACACAUGACUUGGACAAGAGGCAGGCAGGAGCAGAUAAGGGGCUGUUUUUGCAGAGUCCGUUCUUUGUCUGUGACCAUGUUUUGGUGAAUGAAAUCAUCGCAGUGCAGGCAGCAGUGUGACUGAACAGGAAAGGAGCUUGGUUGCCCCUUAGUUACAAUCCCCACUUGGUUAUGUGCUCCAGCCUUGGACAAGUCAUUUAACCCUUGUGCGACUUCUCUGAGCAGUAAAAUUUUGUGCAAGAACAGUGGCCUGUUGUCUGGAGGUGGUGAGCUUUAAUACCUUUAAAAGUAACAUAUAUACUAAACAGCCAAGCCAAUGGGAAACAUGCUUUAGUUUCCACUUAGAAAAGAAAAAACCUUCCCAGUGAUUUCCUUAUAUGUGUGACAGAAUAGGAAGAAAUAGCAUUUUUUUGUAGUCCCAAGAUUUGUCCCUCCAGUAUGAGUGGUAAGCUAAUACCUGGGACGUUGUUAGUCCGAGUGCCAUGAGCUACUGACGGCACAGUGUAGUUCUAUUACAAAAAAUAUAUCCCGUGUCUCUUUCAUUAGUCAUUUUGGUGAGUGAAAUGGAGACAGUCUGUCUGCGGGUGCUGCUCACAACAUAUCAGCCUGGCUUUCUCCCUCCAGCCCUUGCUUCCCAGACCCUGCUUUGAAACGAAGCAGUCCCUGGUUGUUUCCCUGGGUAAACACAGUGACCAUUGGUAGCUUGAUGUCCCAGGUAAGUAACAAUCAUUUAUUCUUGCUGGUUUUAUGGAGUGCUCACAGUGGCCACCUGUCUGACCUAUGACUGAUUUUGAACCAUGGUGAGAAGGAAGGUGGGCAGGGAGGAAAAAUCUUCCAGCCACGUUGGACCUUGAAGUCCUUCACAUCCUGCACAGUUGGCAAAACAUCACAUUUCUUAAUGGAAACUGGGAGAAAAAAGGGAACUUCAAAGAAAGGACUCAAAAUACAUGGAGGGCUUUUGUGGCCAAAUUUAGAGGGAAGACCCCAAUGUUUACUUGCGUUGUCCAAGGAGAAGUAAGACACAUUCUCAGUAUGGAACUUCUGGUUUCACCAGAGAUGAAAGCUUACCUCCAAUUGAGAUCAGAAGAGCUGGCACUCUGUCUCUGGUGACUGGAUGACCAGCAGGAGCCAUUCUCUCAACAGCCGCAGUAGGAAGAUGAUUGCAGAAAGAAAUGGGGCUCAGAUGACGUCCUGAAGAAUGGCUUUGAGCAAGACACUUGAACAUAUCUAGGCCAGCUGAAGAAGAAGGAGGAAUAUCAAGCAAAACUUCCUCCUGGUGUGAUCUAGUAGGCUAUGGAGUAGUAGAGAAGCAGCAGAGAUCCCCAACAUUAGAAAGUAGGACACAAAUGUGUUCAGUCAUGCUCAGGCAGAAAGGUAUGGACUAUUCCUGCUUUUGGAAUUCAACGUUGCAAGAACUGUCUGCUUUGAGAGAGAGAAAGACAACGCCAAGACUAGAGGACACUAGCUAGAGAUUUAUUUUUGUAAAACCAGAAGGCCCAUGAACAGGCUGAUCCACACAGUUUAUUAAACAUGGCAGGCUGACCUCCAUUGUUCCUUAUUGUUUGAUAUGUCUUCCCUGCAAAGCUCAAAAAUAUGAAUCUUUAUCAAUUAAACAAUGCUAGAUAUAGUUUUAAAACCUUGCUCAAGAGCCACGUCCAGAAACUCAAGACAGCUGGCUGGAUCUGAGCCAGUGGGUUUUGACUUAAAAACAAAGAAAACCCCCUUGUGAACUGAGAGGUCCAUUACUAUCAGUUUGUCUUUGUUGGAAAAGAACAGUUAUCUGCUUCCUUAGGAUCAAAGGUAAAUAGUUCAUGACCACAAGAGAAAAGGAAAAAGGAAUCCUCUAGCCAGAGAACUUAACAUUUUGAGGCAGCCUAUUGUCAGGUCAUGGCAUGGUGUUCCCAUUGUCACUGGUCUGAUUAAACAGGGAAAUAGGUUUAAAAAAAAAAAAAAAAAGAAUAAGCUCAGAAUUUUUCAUAGGCACUGGCUUCUUGCAGUGAUCAGCAUCCAGGGUCUUCAGGUUGUGACUGUUGGACUUGUACACUGUCCCUUCAAUUUUAACUCACCCAGUCUGAAUGGGUGAAGAGUACUGUGCCAUGACUCACGCUUAGCGUGUGUGUUUAUUAGCACUUUUAUUGAGUUCUCUUCUACUUCUCUCCAUCGCUCACCUCUUUUACAAUCUCAAGGCAUUAGACUGUACUAUAUGUUUGAUCCAGAGGUUCUUAGUGCACGUUUCCUGGUUGGAUGGGUUGAACGCGGCAUUGCAACCAUGCAGAAAAGUCAGUUUGCAGGUGUUAGGUCUGGCUGAAAUAGCUUCCUCUGUACAAGGUGGAUGCAUCAAGAGAGGGGGCAAGAUGUGUCUGUAGGUCCUUGGCUUCCGUGCCUGCCCUUCCUAAUUCACCUCUGUUUACCCAUAGCCUGCUGAGGUAGGGCAGGGAGUUGGGAUUUUGACCAGGUAGGCAUUGCUGACUCACUGCAUGGCUGACCAUCCCUUGUGCUGAUCAGUGCAGGUUCUGGAGAGUGUUGUGUGUCAGGGAGUCUGUUAUCACUGGGAGGACAUGUAACUGCUUGAUAUUGAAUAAAGUGCCUCUGACUGAAAGUGCUGCAGGGGCAUGAGGGAAGUAUUACGGAGUACUCUGUAGCUGAUGGUGUUGCAGAAACUGGCUACUACCUGUAAGCAGGCAGAAGAGUAAACAGAAAGUCCAACUGCUGUCACUAUCACAAUUCCCCUCUUAAGCCCAUUUGCAACCAGUCAGCCUGAGGUUUGCCACAUGAUACUUCCCCCCGCAAGUAGUCAUUUGCAUCAAGGAACCUGUCCUGAUGCUGCUUUCCUACAAGCGCAAUAAUCCAGUCCAUGUUCUGAGUGGAGAUCUGCAUGGUGACACUGUAACCCUCAUAUUUCAUUCUACAGACUGGCAUUUAAUGUGUAGAUUAGAUUUUGAUUUUCUGGAGAGGCUCUUGCUAAUUUAGGAGGACUUUGGAUUAGUCCAUGAGACCUAUGCCGGACCAUGGAAACAGCCUACGCAGACCCUUUUCUGUGCCUCAUGGCUUCUGUAGUGUCCAUGUGCCUCAUGGAGCAGUAGUGUCCAUCAAUACAGAUAGGAAAGUUUGGAUCAUUUCAUCAACAGCAGAUAAUUUGUCUCUACUGUAAUUACGUUUCAGACUCUGUGCUGCUUUGCUCCUCAAUGCAGUGAAAUCUAUCAAGUGUUUAUUGCUGUCCUGGUUACCUUUCAACACAUUAACCAUGCAAAGAAUCCCCCAUUUUUUAUCACACUCAUUGUCAUGACAACACCUUUGUGCUCUGCUGCUUGUCAUUUUAUAUCCUCUAAAGCUGAGGAAAAAAUACUGCUGUACUUGAGCUCUAUGAGCCACAGGACUUUACACUCCCAUUCUGCCCUGAGCCCUUUCCUGAGCUAAUGUCGACUUCUGUUUACUUCCCCUUCUUUGGGGAAAACAGGAGGAAGGGGCCAAGCAAUUUAAGUACAGGGUGUUGUCAGGACGGGCCAAAGGCGGAAUGAAGGGAAAACAAGAAGUGGCAUCAAAGUGAUUGAGGCAAACCUCCACUGUCAUAGCAGUGAUAUAUGGGAUAAACUCAUCCAUCCUCUUCUCACUUUGGAUGCAUAAACAUGACAACAUAUUUAGGUAAUCCAUUGUCUGUCAGCCUUCCCUUUGCUACAAGGUGUUACAGCUUGAUGGAAGAAGGGAAUCCUACUUUCUGAGCAACUUUUGUCUGUCUUACCCUCAGUUUCCCCAUCUGUAACUGAGGAAGCAAUUUUAGCCUACUUUAAUAUGCUACAUAAGCCAGGGAUUAUGUUUCCAUGGACAGGGGGGUGUCUUUAGGUAAUGGGAUCGUGGCUAAUGCUGUAUUCUGGCUGCUAUUCUUCUAAGCGCUAAAGACCCCAUCUAAAUUAUAGAAAAAUGCCAGUGAUUAUGUUAAUAAAUAUGACAGUCCCAACGGGUUUUAAAUAGCACUUCACAGCUUUGACAAGCUUACCUCAAAAUUUCCUUGCAAAUGAGAAAGUUAACACCUGGCUGGGAAGUUUAUUAAAAUUGCAAAUGUUAAUUUGCUUCUAGCCAGACUUGGGUCACUCUGCAAGAAAAUUGCACAGAGAGGUUUGACCCAAAACACUGAAUUAUUUGAAGAAUACUUCAUUUUCAAGAAUAUCUGAAUUGGUGAAAAUUUUAAUGGAAAUAAUUUUUAGAAUUAGAAUACACCGAUCAGAGCCUACCUUGAUGCUACAGUUUUCCAAAGUGGCCUGGUGGAUGCCACUUUGGGGAUUUUACUUAUGAUCACUGCAUGGAAAGUUCCUGUUACACACUUUAUUUAUUAUUUUUCCCUAAGAGAACUAGUACCUCUCCUCGCACUUGCAGUGCCAUAGCAAAAAGCACUUGAGAGCACCACCUGUGAUGAAGUUAUGUUCGACACAUAAUGAUAUGUAAUUGGAAGUGCAGUUGUCUCUGGGAAAAGAAUCUGCAGCCUUAAACUUCCUCCCAAACCGCUUAUGACAUAGGACUGUUUUCUGCGUUACUAACACAUAACACAAAGAUUUGUGUUGCCAUUUGUGUUGCUAUGACAGUGGAGGUUUGCCUCAAUCACUUUGAUGUCACUUCUUGCUUUCUCUUCAUUCCCCCUUUCAGCCCUUUGCAAGUGAAUGGUGCCACAUAGUAAGAUCUGGAUAUUAAGUGGAUGGAGUGUCCUUCCUUUGGCCUGAUCCAGUGAAGAUAUAAAUCAGUCACAUUUCCGAGUUUCUUAACCUAAUUCGGUACCUCAAGCUGUGGCUGCUGGGUUCGGGGAGGAUCCUGGAGUAUCAUAUCUGCAGCUGCCCUCACUUCAACUCUCAUAACUCCAAGUCGCUGUGGCUCAUCAGGGUGACAGACCGGAGUAAGACAGGUGGACCGCAUCUCCUGGUGAGGUUCUUGCCAUCCCUUUUUUCUGUCAUUCUGUAUGACAACAGAGUUUGGCCCAGUACAACUAUCUGUGUUGAAUUUCCCCAGCACACAGCAAGUUCUGCCCUUCCUGGUACACGACAUAACUUGUUCCCGUACCCCAGGGACACAGAUAUCAUCCCAGCGGAUCUGUCCGGAUCUCUCUGGCUCUGUCCGUCCACAGGGUGAGGUCAUUUGGGUGCCAAGACUUGCAGAUCCUCCCUCUCAGCAGCUGAUGUUACUUUGGCAUGAAGAGAAAACAAAGUAGGUUAAGCUUGAUUUUAAUUAAAUAUUUCCUGCUUUCACAAUGAAAGUGGAAAACACAUGUGGGUGUCUCCUCACUAAGUAUGAAGGACAAAACAAUGCUUUAUAGGAAUGGAGCAGAUGUUAAACCCUUUGGCACAUCUUGUCCAGCUCACUUUCCUUUGAAGUCAGGCUGGAGUGAUUUACUUAAAAUGCUUCCCUCCUGUGCGUGUCAUAGUCAAGUCAGCUUGUCCCCUUUUCUGCAGUUAAGUUUGAUUAUUUCUGCCCUGCUCUAGUCCUUAUAGAAUUAUCUUUUUUUUUUUCCCUAUUUGCCAAGAUAUUUUGGUAUAUUAACUGUGAUUGAUUUGCAGCCCCUCUCAGUUUUAGUGGCCUCUGCAAAUUCAGCAGGUAUAGUCAUGAGAUUUGAAAUCCUCUAUAUAGCGAAGCUUUGAAACUGGAAGUGAACUUGACAUCCAAAUUGUCCAGCUCUCCCAGAACCCAAGGGGCAUUGGCUGAACUUUUUCUUUUAAUAGCGUGCAUUAGCAUCAAGGAAUACAAUUGUGGCCUGACGCAAAGCUAUUGUUAGAGAUGUUUGCACUUUCCUAAUAGAAUAUAAAUGCCCUCAGAAAACAAAGCUUCAGUGAAGCUUUUUUAGAGGAGGCUAGUGAAGCUCCGGGGAUGGAAAGGCUAGCUAAAGGCUUUCAGGUAUGUGCCCUUUUUCUUGUCUGUUUGUAGUUUUAUUCCAGUGUUCAUGUUAUGAAUUUGGCACAGAUAAAAACCCCAUUUGUGUGUGAUCAGGAAGCAAUACUACCUCAUUUUUGGACACUGCUGCAGGGGACAAAAGCGUAUUUCUUUCUUAUGCACACAGACAGAUGUUUCUGGAUAAGGUAGAUUAUAUCCAAAUAUUAAGGAAAUAACUUCCAAGAAGAAUUUCUGUCCUUCCUGGUACUAAUCUUGAUUUUACUCUUUUUUUAAUUCAAAAACGCUAUUUGCUAUUGCUUCGACAAGGUUUUGUGAGCUGUGCAGCCCUGCGCUAUCAGGCAUGAAGAGUUAUUGUGACAGCACAAACCAUAACGCUAUCCAUCUAGCCCAUCAAUCACAUUUCCCAAAACAUCCAAUGAAUGAAAGCGGUAUUCUAUCCGCUUCCUGGCUGUUUUUACUCAAAAUAAGCAGAAACUAGAUGGGAAUUUCUUGAGGUUGUGCAAACUGAGUCAAUGCAAUCCUGACUCCAAACUCAUUGCUGUUAAGAUAGAUAUAUUGCAAUUGCAGAUGAUGAUGCCAUUAUGAUGGCAUUCAUUUCUGUUAAACAAGGGGCUGCCCUUUUGCUCUCGUUCCCUGGACUCUACUUUCCCUCUUAGUGAGGCGGGGCAGGGACAAAGACCUGAAUUCUCCUAUCAGGUUACCCUAAUGCCCUGUGGGUCUCCUUGCCAAGUGGCAGAAGAACCUGACUUGGAAUAAAAAUUGCCAGAAGUCUGUUGAUUUCUGUAGAGUCACAAUAAUUUUUGCCAGCAGAAGUUUUCUCAGGACUCUUAAGAGGAAAGAAACUAGAGGAUUACAGGGAAAACUGUACUGGUAUUCAUGGAAAAGGCUAAUCUUGUGCGUGAAUAUGGUCAUGCUCUGGCUAAAGUAAUUGCUGGCACUAGAGAGUAGCAGAAGUUAGAGUCUGUCAUUGAGAACAAUCUGUCCUGGCUCAUCUUGCGCUGGUUAUCAUGAGAGUUGGGGAUGUGGGCAGAUUAUGCUGACCCAGUCCCAUCUGGCAGGGCUGGCUUGUCCGUGAUUGCGGUGCUCUGGGGACGGCACAGGAGGGAUCAGUGCAAGAAGCGCCUUUGCCCUUUUAGAGCAACUUACCUGCGCUGUCUCACGCAGUCUUCUGCAGAAGGCAGCAGCAAGAAUAACAAGGGGGAAGGCAGAAGAUACAUGGUGUCUGAAGGCAGACAGGCUCUUAUCCAUGGUUUGCCAAUGGGUUUAGUGAGGCCAAGCAGCUGAGACUGUUAGGAGGUCUUGGGAGGACAAAAUGGGAGAAGGGGAACUGUUGGAGUGUUCAUUAGAGUAGAGCCCAUCCGAGGGCAGAAACCCACCGGUGUGGUACAAACAGGGAGAGGGAUAGCUAUAGCUCAAAUUAAGCUGGAAAAACAAAGGGUUAGUAAAUGGCCUGAGAUACCCCAGAUCCCAUCAGAAGUCAGAGGCAGAGCCAGGAAGAGAGCUUUUCCAAUGAUUGAUGGUUUUGUUUAUUUUUAAAAAUUAUUAAAAUCCCUCCAACUCCCCACCCCACGAGUUUCUGGAAUUUGAUGUAAAGAAAACAUUGCAUUUCAGAUUCAAGCAUUGUAGGAUGUUCUAACAUCUAUUUUCUUGAAUAAUGGGGAAUGAAAUUUCUAAAUUAAGAGCCAUUUCCAACUGGAAACCAAAUGUUCUGGCUGGAGUUGCCAACAUGAAAAAUUUCAGCUUUCAGCAUUUAUUGUGGUUUGUUAUUCAUGGACAUUUGAGCACAACUGAGACAAAUUCACAGAACGUUUACGUUGCUGGCAGGUCUCCUGAUGCUCUGCUGAGUCCCAUCAUGAGGAGCUCCUCCCACAUAUGGCCUGCCAGGACAAUUUGCUUAACCUACCAUUUACCAGUUGGUACCUACCUUACCAAUAUUAUUACCUGUGGGCUAUAUCACUUGAUGUAGUAGCAGCAGAAGACAGGAGCCCCGGUAUAGCACCUUUCUAGACCUGAGGGCUCUAAAAACCCGGAGGGUUGUCUGUGCAUAUUCAGUAGGUAUGGUCACAGUGUGAGCUUGGGCUGCAGUGUAUAUGCAAAUGCUGGGUGCUACAGCAUAAAAAUGUGCACUGCUAGAGCGUCUCAGUCAGAGGUUGCUGUUGUAGGUGAAGCUGAUUUGUGGCCAGCUGGAACGUGCAACUCAAGAAAGACCCAGUUUGCUUGACUGAAUCAUUCCAGGGGUGCCUGCAAGUUGGACUCCCCACAGGCUGGUUUAGCUAUGCCAAUAAUUAUUCAGUAGCCAGUGAAUCUCUCCUAGGCAUUCAAGAAGCCUUCAGCUUCCCUAUCCCGGGGAAGGGGAGAUUAAACUCUCAGUAACCCAUAUCUUUAUUAGCAAGUUCAUGCUCACCUGAUUUUUAAAACCAUUUUCAUAGAUUCAUUAGUUUAAGAGAACCUGACUCUUUUUGUCAUAGAAAUAUCACCAUAGUGCUAACAGAAGCUUAUUAAACUGGAUAUUUGAGUGGAAAAAAUGUUUAGCAGCUGUUUGCAGAUGCAUGUGGCUUGACAGAUAUUAAAAUGACAUAAAACUGUCUCCUCCUUCAGACAAAUCUUAAAGCUAUUUAUAACUAUUAGCUAUUUAUCUAUUAUGUGUUAGCUCUUCGUAGCUGUUUUCAGCAUCCUGUAGUGCACCACAGGGACAGAGGACUUCAGCACCACUGGGAGUUACCAUGGUGUUUGCAGGGAACAGAACACGAGGACCCGAAUUUUGGUACUGUUUUCAUUUUGCAACACACACACACGCACACACGUACACACACACACACGCCAGUUACUUGCUUGUACAAAAGAAUGAGGCUCCCUGGUGUGCCUAGAACAGCACCCAUUUAUAUUAGCAGGGAAUUUGGCCUGUGUGUUUUAUGUUGCGCUGCCACAGGCAAGUACUAGUAAGAUAUCUGCUGAAGAUGGGAACAAAAAAAUUUACGUGACUCGCAGCAGCUGCAAGAAGAUAUAACUAGAGCGCACUAAAGUGUGUAUGACUGUUUGAACAGCUUUGCUGUUGAAUGGUGGUCUGUACAUGCUCCUGGGAUUUGUGUCACAAAGAACAUCAGAAAAUGAUGAAACAGAAACCUCCAUCUCUGCAUAGAGACCACAAAAUCUUGAAAAGGGUGAAAGACCUCAAAACAGAGAGAUUUAACCUGCAAUGGUGUCCACUGUUGUUUUCCAUCUCGGACCAUUUUGGGUAAUGACACAGAUAAACAGAAGUCACUGGAGCCUGGGUUUAAUCUCCUCGCUCGUGUUCACAGGACUGUUGCCAGCUUCAUGAACUUUGCCCCAAGUUCUGUUUGGAGUUUUCACCCACAGUUUGACAAAAAGUGAAAGGGUAAGAUGAUUCAAAGAUACCGUGAUGUGUGAGACACAGCUGAGAGAAGUGAUGGGCCUUCUGUGACAUAUUCUGGGUGGACGCGAGGAAAUUGAAACAUCUAAAAUCAGCAAAAGUUGGUGUGACACAAAGCCCAUGCUCCCAGCAAGACUUCCAGCAGCCACUGCGAGCUCUGGGACGGCGAUGUCUCCGCAGAGCCCUGGGGACUGAUGCUGUCUGCUGCUGCGGGACACAGCUAGAAAGGGAACUGCUGGGAGCCCUUGAUGACAGAUCAUUGAUUUCCUGUUUUUUUCCCCAGCUUAUCUGAACCUCUGGACUUGCUUGUGUGGAGAAGAAGGGGAAAAAAUAGAGUUGGCACUUUCUAUUGUGUUUUCCCAGCUUUUUUUUUUCAACUGACCUGUGACCAAAAAAAAAAAAAUCCAUUUCAGCUUAGAAUAGCAUAAAUGGUAUCAGAGAGUUUACAGACAAAAGGAACUAUCUGUUUUAGGUGCCAUUAUAUUUAAAUGGAUUGUUUUCCCUAAAGGAAUUCAUCCUCCGUGUUUCCUUCAAGCUAUCUCACAGCAGUAAGUGGAGGUGUUUCCUCUGUGUAACACACGGAGCAGAGGAUGCUGAGGCUGUGUUAGCCCUAAGUGCCAUGUAGCUACCCAUCCAUCAGUGUGCCAGGUGCUUUUAGUAGAACACAACUGUACUGUUGGUUUAGGAAAAGGAAAAUAGCAAAUAUUCGGAAGGUGAAAAGAUAAGGCAUUAAAUUGGGAACUGGAAUAGGACACAAAUGCUUACAGAUAUAAAGAGGUACAACAGAGAUUUGUAGAGUGUUGGUGAGGACUUUGGUAUAGGGUCUCUUUUCAGUGUGAAAUGGUGCUGUGGUACCUACUGCUCUAUGUGUCGUACGGCGAUGUGGACUGCCUGGAUGUACCUGCCUUCUUACUGCAGACAUGCAGGACUGUGAAUUGCGCAAUAGAAACUGAGUCCUGUCAACCAGCAGGAUCUUUGAAAAGAAGUGUGUUUCUCCUAUCCAGUUCUAUUUAUAAAGAUACCCGGCAGCUGGUGAAAAAUGAAGCCUGUGUAUCUCACGCUGCCCCAGAAGUUGCGAACAGCAGCUAACUGCAAUCCUGACAGGCCUGGGAGAUGCUGUGAGCCCGGAGCUGCAUCUGUUCGGUUCCACCCUGGGAAAUAGAUGAGUAUGAAGGCAGAGAGUGGGAAACCUCUUCUGGCCCUUUCUUCGCUGCUUGUUCCAAAGAAGUGAUGGAGGAAAACAAAUUCCCUAAAACUUAAGAGGACAAUUUGAAGGUGACGAUGGGAGUCAAAGUCACUUCACACUCUCACUCAACCUGAAGAGCCCAGUUGUCUGAAAAUCGUGAGUCAGAGGCCCAGGGAAGACAGACCACAAAGCUGCCUACCUCUGACACCUAGCCUGAACCAGAUCAUUCAAAGUCCUGUGACAAAGUGCGCCAUUUACGUGACAGCAUAUUAUCUAGGAUGCCACAUCUCCCACAAACCUCAAAAGGCAGGUGUCCGAAAUGUCUCUGUUCUACAUGGGUGCAGAUGAGGCACUUCCUUGCAUGCCCAAAUUGGUUAAAGAAUAUAAAGUCAUACAGGUAAAUCAGCACUGGCAGGUGUGGUCACUUGUUUUGCACCUGCACGUAUUCAAGCAUGCCACAAAAGACUGGACGUGCCUCCCAACAUUGCUGUCAAAGUAAAGGAGUCGAUCUGAGUAACAGCCUGAAGUAAAAUCUUUUACUAAAUUUAACCAUGCACGUUAUUCAGUAUUCUGUCUCCUUUGCCUUUGUACGCAUACAAAGGUAUGACCAAUGUGCCUGGUGACUCAUACCAAAAGACAAGAAUAGCAUCAAUGAAUUACUUGAGUGUUUACGGCAGGACUUGCCAGAAAGGUGCCUCGUUCACAGUUUUAGAUAAGACUCCAGCUGCAGUUUGUCAUACGAAGUCCAAUUGCUCUGAAACCUGAAAAACUGUGACUUUGUUAAGCUUGUCUCAGCUAAAAGUUGCUAUUACCCUAUCUUACAUUAGCUGAACUUCCACAUGGGUCUUAUAUUAUUGCAAGGCUGUCAGAUAUCUCUCUCUGGGAGCAGUAAAUGCCAGUGAACUGUAAAAGUGAACCAUCCAUUUCUAAUGCCAUACUGAAGGAGGGUGAUAACUUGUUGAGCAGAUUAUCAGGAAACUCUUACAUGAUAAAUCUCUUCAGUCAUUCAAAAAUACGGAGAGACUGAAAAAAAGGUCUGGAGAAAACAACUUAUGUAAUGCAGAUCUUCUCAGAACCAUCAGACAUUUCAGCAGGAUUUUUGCUCAAUCCUAGCGUUAUUACCAAAGCGUUGCUACAACUCUCCAGUGAAGACAGUGCACACGGUAUCUAUGAAUAAUGUAAUUGUGAAACAAGGGUACCAGGUCAAAUGUUUUGCUGUUGUUCCUGGUACUGGAACAGUAAGUUUUCUGCAGAGAAUAUUCUAGUCAGAUGCAAAGACACUUUUAUUAAACUUUAAUUUUAAAAAUGUUUUAAAACAAGUUAAGCUUGGUGGUAAUAAUCCUCUAAAAAGAAAAUGGGUUGCAAAUUAUUUCAUCUGUGUGUAUACGACUAUGUACAGAGCUUUAGCUUUAGGUUGUUUCUUAAGGAGGUAGCACCUGGAUCCCUUUUAGAAGGAGAACUAAAACCACAGAUGAAAAAGAACCAUUGAAUUCCUCCAGAAAUCUCCAGGAAAAGAGCAAAAUAUCUAUCUGACAUUUUAGUGGGUUUAAAAUAUACAAUGUGCCCUUCUCUUUUUACUUCCUGUGGGUUAUUAUGAGAAAUAAUUCACUUUGAAUAAACAUUUAUGUGUUAGAAAACUCCGAGAACUGCAAAAAGGCUGCUCUGGGACUCUGUGUUUACAGGCAUCUUCAUUCAAGGAUCUCUAAUGUCUCCAUGCUCCCAUGAUCUGAAUUGCUCUACACUAAUAUCUCUACAGAUAGAAAAAAUUGUUCAGACAUAACUAUACUGGCUUGUCUAUGUCUGCCACGUAUAGCUGAGCUCUUCUUUUUCCUUUACCUUUUCUGGUAAGGGCACUGUGGAGUUGCUGUUCCUCGUGACCAUUGCAUGACUCUUCUGAGGUGGUAGCAAAGCCUACUCAUCUGUGAGUCUGCUGUGGAACUUGUGGUUUCAUAACUUAGCAACUUCAAACAGAAACCGGUAUGAUACUGCUCUUCUACCUCUAGAAAAGUAAAUAUCUACCUCUAGCAAAGUAAAUAUCAAGUGCCUGAAUGUGCUGUGACCGGGUUGACACAAUCGGGUGUUGUGGCAAAAAAUAGCCUCUUUGCAGCCUUUCAUUUCAUUCUUUUAUUUCCCAAUCCCAUCCACUCUUCUAUGCUUGUCCAACAUCUGAUCAGUUCGUUAAAGACAAUAUUUUAGUUCUUGUGGGUGAACAUCUCAGAGAACAUGUUUUUUCAGAGCUGUGCAGAAUAAGGGUAUGGAACAAUAGACUCACCAUUCCUGACCUUCAUACAGUCCUUAGCUACUUCUUGUCUUUCUAAUGUUCCUGUCUGAAUACUGGUUUUUAAAUCACUUUAAUGAAGCUAAAACUCAACUCUCCAUGUAUUUUCCAGUACUUCACCAUUCUUAAAUGCACAAUCUCUUUUUGCUCACUUUAUCUCCUUACUCCUCAGUCACUCCAGGAUUAUUACCAGACUAAUGAAGACCAGAACCCACUGCGGUCGUACCACACUUGCAGCUGUUCAACUACCCCUUGGAGUUCUUAGCAUCUACAUACACCAGGGCAGAUAAAGGAAAAGAAGUGGACAGACGGUGGGAUCUGCAGUGAUGGUAGGAUCAGGUAUAAAUCCAAGUCCCCAACAGAUCCUACUUCUUCCUCUAAAAUCCCUUUCCUUUUCCUUUCGUGCAUCAUGUAUCUGGAAAGGCUUUAUUUAGCUCUGAAGUUUUCAGGUGACGGUAGCUCACUUUGAGUGUCUUUGCAGUAAACUCAUCUCAGUUGAGCAAGUGGGAAGAUCUAGGCUGAGCUGGGAGAAAACCGUCACCAAUGUCUGUGAAUCACAGAAACAUAAUUUGCAUUUCAAGCUGACCUGGUUCAUCUAGCUGUUUCCUAAUGGGAAAUUUAGUGAAAUGAUGCUGUGUUUGCCUACACAGCCCCCCAUAGCAAGGCACUGAUUGCAUUGGGGAUCGGAGUGAGCAGCGUUCAUCAGCAUUUUAAGACACUUGCCAGUUAAAAAAAGAAAAAGAAAAUAAGUUUGGGGGGGUUUUAACUGAAAAAUUGUUCCUCAGAGGAAAAGAAGCAGUGUUGCUGGUCCUCAGAGUACAUUUUGCCAUGAUACUUACUUAUCCUUAUCCUGCCCCUCCAGCAACAGUGAAGCAGCAGGUGCUUUUAGUUAUGUUAAGAAGGAUGGCAUUUGGUGGCCAUAAAGUCAUUAUGUAUGGGAAACAAGACUCGCAUUACCCAAAGACUGUGCUGUCAGGGCAGCAGUUUGAAUGCCAUGCCACUUCCUUAUGGUCAACAGUUGUUUUCAUCUGAGGCUGCAAACCAGUCAUUGAGACUUUGUUGAAUUUACACUAAUUCUUAAUGACCAUCUGUCUGUAUUACAGAACAUUUUGUCAAACAUGGUGUACUUUUAGCAGAGGGGCUGAAGGAAGAACGGGCAGGAAAACUAAACUGCCCUGUCACCUCCUAUAAGCGCUCCCCUCGGCAGACAGAGCUACAAACAGAUGUGUGAGGUUUGCACUGACGAGUGGUCCUAGCCAGGUCUAACAGCAACAGACUUGUGCCUCCAUGGCUGUUAAUGCAACACUCCUCCACUGACUGCAGCCAACCAAUUUCCUUCUUCACGCUACAACCCACCGGGGGUGUGAGACGCUGAAUUUGCACGUCUGAGCCCUGGUGGCAAAGAGACAUGCUAAGCGAUGGCAGAUGCUUGCUCUGAGUGUACACGUGCAGUGCUUACAAAGGCGUACGAGGAGGGGAAAAAAAGAAGAAAUAGCACCGGGUGCAGGGAUACAGCCUGCCCUUACUUUUGGUUUAAAGUUGGGAAAGAUAUAGAACAAGGUAGCUGGAAAACUUCAGGAGGAUGGUGACUGAGUUAUCAGUCAGCACCUAUUUCUGGAUUAGAUGACUUUUAGGGGGACUGUAACUUGUGUUGAAUUAGAUUAUACCUUAUGGCUGAAAAAGCUGA